This 475-nucleotide ribosomal RNA is filed under the name uncultured bacterium. Its description in RNAcentral is "SSU rRNA". It matches the Rfam family "Bacterial small subunit ribosomal RNA", at positions 26 to 518 of the family's 1533-position model. The record is from RNAcentral.
AGGACGAACGCUGGCGGCGUGCUUAACACAUGCAAGUCGAGCGGAAAGGCCCUUCGGGGUACUCGAGCGGCGAACGGGUGAGUAACACGUGAGUAACCUGCCCUUGGCUCUGGGAUAGCUCCGGGAAACCGGAAUUAAUACCGGAUAUGACUUCGGCCGACAUCGGCUGCGGUGGAAAGAUUUAUCGGCCAGGGAUGGGCUCGCGGCCUAUCAGCUUGUUGGUGGGGUAACGGCCUACCAAGGCGACGACGGGUAGCCGGCCUGAGAGGGCGACCGGCCACACUGGGACUGAGACACGGCCCAGACUCCUACGGGAGGCAGCAGUGGGGAAUAUUGCGCAAUGGGCGAAAGCCUGACGCAGCGACGCCGCGUGGGGGAUGAAGGCCUUCGGGUUGUAAACCCCUUUCGGCAGGGACGAAGCGAAAGUGACGGUACCUGCAGAAGAAGCGCCGGCUAACUACGCGCCAGCAGCCGC